CCCUUAGAUGUUCUGGGCCGCACGCGUGCUACACUGAGUGGAUCAGCGGGUCAGGUUGCGCGAAAGUGUUUCCUAAUCUUGAAAUCCGCUCGUGAUGGGGAUUGACGGUUGCAAUUUUCCGUCAUGAACGAGGAAUACCUUGUAAGCGCGGGUCAUCAUCCCGCGCUGAAUACGUCCCUGCCCUUUGUACACACCGCCCGUCGCUCCUACCGAUUGAGUGGUCCGGUGAGGCUUUGGGAUCUGAGCAAAGAGAGCGUUUCGCUCGUUUUGCCCGGAAAACUCAGUCGAACCUUAUCAUUUAGAGGAAGGAGAAGGCGUAACA
This 322-nucleotide ribosomal RNA is filed under the name uncultured eukaryote. RNAcentral's name for it is "partial 18S ribosomal RNA". It matches the Rfam family "Eukaryotic small subunit ribosomal RNA", at positions 1470 to 1796 of the family's 1831-position model. The record is from RNAcentral.